This 2214-nucleotide unclassified non-coding RNA is filed under the name Manduca sexta (tobacco hornworm). RNAcentral describes it as "uncharacterized LOC115441766, transcript variant X1". Lineage: Eukaryota; Metazoa; Arthropoda; Insecta; Lepidoptera; Sphingidae. The record is from RNAcentral.
AGCGUUGAUAUUAACAUCGCUUAUUUUGGAAUAUAUUCAUUUACAUGAAUAAAUUUGGUUAUUAUUUCGGAUUCGUUACCAGAACGAUAUAUUCCAUUGCCUUCAUUUUGUUGUUGAAUAAUAACUUUUCCAUAACUGUUUAUCUAUAAGUCUCGCUUCCAUCAUAAAUAAAUCAACCAUAAACUGACAAAUCUGUACUAAUUUGUCACUCGAAAUCUCAACAUGAAAAAUCUCUUUACGCUUAUUGUACUAAUUCUGUAUUUUCAAGAGUUAAAAGCAGACUUUACAAACGCUACGGAACAAAAGAAAAUUGCAUCAACGCCCCAGCUCGAAAACAAUUUUGACAAAAUUCCGGCCGAGGCAGAAAUUACAACAGCUUUAGUAGAAAAUGAAAAAUUUGAUGAUAAUGAACUCCAAAAACAUUUUGUACAAAAAUUUCAAUUAUAUAAAAAUAAUUUAGAGAAAGACAAAAACAGCAACGAGACCCAUGAGAUGAUGCUGCAAAGAAAAUCAAGGUACGCCGCGAAUAAUACGCACUCUAAUAAAAGGAUGGAAUGUUUGUCGUGUCGUGCAGACGGGAUUUCUACUGCAGAUGAGAAUUGUUAUAAGGGAUCCAGAGUUCCGUCACAAAAUUGUUCAGAUGCCGAGCAAUGUUAUACUGAACUUCACCCUUUAUACAUAAAAAGAGGUUGUAUAUUACCUAGCAGCCUAAACAGAACGUUUGCAUGCAAAUGUCCCCUAUGUAACGACAAACCUUCAUACGACUCCGCCUAUUACGAAUAUACCAAACUCAGCGAUUGGGAGUACGAUAACGAACGCCUUCAGAAACCUGUGGUAGGAAUAGACCUCAUUUGCAAAGUUUGCGAAACUAGAAGAACGAAUAAACAUGCCGAUAAUGUUUGUAAAAAUGGUCAGGGUUCAGACUAUAUGGUUUGCGGACAUGAGGAACUAUGCUUCACAAAUAUAAAUGAACAAAUUGACUCGGUAACCAGAGGAUGCGUAUCAAAACCAGUACAUAACUCAUACUAUCAUUUUUGCAAUACAUUAAAGUGCAACAACGAGGCUUAUCUAAGUCCGACACAGAGAAAACCAAGAGAGCUAUUAAUGGGACUCACGCCCUUGCCAAGUAGAUUUUCAUCAAGUGAUGUUACUAAAAUAUGGCAUCCAAUAAUUCUCUUUGAAAUCUUUUUUAUGGGCAUUAUUUAUAAACGUCUUACAUACUGCCAUUUCUAGAAAAAGUUUAUCUGCGUUUUAUAGAUUAUAAUAUCUUUAUGAUAGAUUUUAUGACAGAAUGCAUUUUUGAUUGAAGUUUACUGACAACGUACAAAAUGAGAUUUUUUCAAGUGAUUUUAUUUUAUUUGCUUAUUAUACACGUGAAAUGUGAAGAAACUACUGAAAAAAAUAAACGCGGUAGAGAAAAGGCACCGACGGAACAUGUUGAUGGAAACAAAGGCAAAGAUGAAUUGUUACACCUGACAAAAGACCUAAUGUAUCAUGAGAAAUCUUGUGACAAGGAAGACGACGUUAGUUUUGCUGCAGGCGGUAACAACGAAAUAAAUAUUACUAGAAGUGAAUCUGACGUAUCCGAGUCGAGGCGUUCGUGCAUAUUUUGUGAUAACGUACAAAUCGAGGACUGCUAUGAUCCGAAAAAUAAAUUGAUCCCGUCAAUCAUGUGCGAACGUGAGGAAGACUUGUGCUAUUCUCAACACACGCCUUUCGGCAUAAUCGACAGAGGAUGUUUCAACGUAAAUCACAAUCUCACCACCUACGUUUGCUCCUGCAAUCUUUGUAACUACAUAUCCAUUUCUGAAAUGCCAUACAUUUUCUCUAACAAGCGAGAUUGGGUCGAUAAUGUUGUUGAGCUCUCACGUACGCGGCAUUUUAGAAAAUCUGUGUUUAAAGACAUGACUUGCUUGAGAUGUGAAGUUAACGUGACCACCAAAAGGGGUGAUAUGCUCGAUAGUGCAAAUUGCUUGGAAGGAAACGUUGGGGCAUUACCAAUACAACAAUGUGAAGAAGACGAAAUCUGCGCAGUUAGGGCUAUCAAAAACACUGGCUUUAUGUGGAGGGGUUGUGUUAAGGCCCCUCUUUAUAACUAUUGGUGGGCCCUUUGCGACACCGACCUUUGUAACUACGAUGCUCUUAUUUCUAUCUAUGACUUUAUGUAAAACUAUUCCUAUUUUCUUAUCUACUUUAAUAAAUGAUUUCAAAUAA